UCAGUUUCCCUGAAUGGAGAAUGAUAAUGGCACUGAUCUCAUGUGGUUGUCUUGGGCUUUAGAGUGAGUUGAUAAAUAUGGAGUACUUGGAAUAAUGCCUAACUCAUAGUAAAUACUCAUUGCAUGUCAGCUGUUCUUAAUGAUUAAUUUUAUUUCCACUUUGUUCUAUAAGAUUCUGAGAUUUUAAAGGGAUGGCUCUUGUACUGUUUUUGUUUUUUUUUAGCUUCUAGAGCAAAAACAGCAUUCCUUGUUCUGUGACUACAUAAAUAAACAAUAGUCUGGAUUAAGAGUCAGACAUCUUUAGUAUCAGGAAAUCUGAUUAUUUUGCAUCUACUCCUCCUGAGAGAAGACACUUUGAAGACUUUUAUCCUCCCACUCCUGCUCUGUCCCCUCCUAGCCUUAGAGAGAAGCCUGGUGUCCUUCAGGAGGCACAACACAUCCAAGGAUUGGAGGCCAGGCCAUCACAGGUGCUGGUCUCCAAGGUUUUCAAGUGCAGGCUGCAGUCCAAAGCCAAGAACUGUUUCAUGGACGUUAGCGGGGCAUAUGAAGAAUUGGAAUAGAGACUGUAAACUUUACAUCAAUGUUAAUUUUCUUGAACUGGAUAACUGCACUUAAGGCAGUUACAUAGUGAAUAUCCCUGUUCUUUAGAAAUGUACAUGGCAGUAUUAAGUGUUCAAGAAGCAUGACGCAUAAAACCUGCACUCAAGUGUUCAGAAAAUAGCUAGCUAGCUAGGUAGAUAGCCAGCUAGCGAGAGUCAAUGUGGUAAAAUGUUAAAAUUGGUAGAUCUGGGUAUAUGGAAGUAGGGCUAUUUUGGAGUCUCUGUAUGGGGUUUGCAUUCAUUUUUUAACUGUCCUAUAGGUUUGAAAGUAUUUCAAAAAAGUUUUUUAAGAGUAUUUUUCCAAAUUCUUGUUUUAUGCUUGAUUAUACUAUGUCUAUUUUGGACAUGAACUGUAUAGUAUCCUCCCUUCCAUGAUAAAGUAAAUAAAGCACUGCAUUACAACUGCUU
This 1007-nucleotide long non-coding RNA is filed under the name Dasypus novemcinctus (nine-banded armadillo). RNAcentral's name for it is "lncRNA (ENSDNOG00000050815.1)". The record is from RNAcentral. Lineage: Eukaryota; Metazoa; Chordata; Mammalia; Cingulata; Dasypodidae.